CGGUCCGCGGCCGACAGCCGCGGCUGCUGGCGGCUAAACCGGGGCUCCGAGAGCUGGUCGGUGUUUUAGACGGAGCGUCGCUCGGCCCACACCGCUUCCAUUAUAGGAAUGGUCCGUGGUCAUUGCGUCCAAUUAACAUGCCUACGUGCCCGUCCCACUUUGUCAUUAUGCCCGCGAAAUCUUCCAACUCAAUUCUAAGUAUUUAGUGUGCUAUUGUGCACCGUGUUACGUCCGUCGAACGGUUACUGUCGUCUGUUGGCUCCUCUGCUGGCUGUUAACUGGCUUCUGGUUGCGAGUGUUUCCUUACAUUGUCGCUACGCACGGCCGUCGUUUACCGGUUAGCUGGAAAGCAUACAGGCAUCGGGGAAUACGAAUCCGUUUAGAAAACUAAGUAAACAGUCGAUGAGAUAAAUCUCUCACGCUGCCGUUAGUGGGGACGAGCUUCGACGCAAACUUCUAUUACGGAGGUACGUGGGAGGCGACGACACACAUACACGGUGAGGUCGCCGCUGACGUCACGAGCCAUGUACCUCAACCCUUGCCGGUCACACAAGGAAAAGGCCGACUGAAAGGAAUACAGACAAGGAUGAGAGAAGUCGCGACGUAUUCUUUAUUAUUAUUGAGAACAAUCAACAGUUUAUGUUCAAUUCUCUUGUGCCAAAAACUCGAGGUCUCGUGAAUCAUAGACGCGGAGAUCUAAAUCGUCUUCAUCCUGCUUACGGCAAUUGCUGUAAUGGCGCCGCUUCCAGCUAAACUGACACGAGCGACGCCUCGCGGCCGGCCACGGGCGAGAUGACAGACGUCCCCGGACAUGAUACCUAUUAUAUUUAAGUAUCUGUCCUGACGCUCCGUAUGGUCCGUCGAAAUUAAUCUAAAAUUAAUAAUAUUAUGUAAAUGGUAUCAUUGAUGACUUCACUUCCUCCUUAGACAAGGAAGUGUGUAGGAGUACCGGCUUUUCCUAGAGCUGUAGGGUUUCUAGACGUUCGCUCGUAUAUUGGAUAAUUGCUUCAGGUAUUUUUAGAUAUUACAAGAUGUUGUCACCCUUUUAUAUGUAUGUUGGAUGUGCCUUAUCUUUCAUAACAUCACUAUAUAAUUGAAAAUUUCAUUAAAUUUUAAUACAUAUAAUCUCAAUGAAGUAACUCCAAUUUUAAGUAAUAAAUUAAUACAAGACAGUUUA
Danaus plexippus (monarch butterfly) is the source of this 1177-nucleotide long non-coding RNA. RefSeq lists it as uncharacterized. The transcript is spliced from 2 exons. Lineage: Eukaryota; Metazoa; Arthropoda; Insecta; Lepidoptera; Nymphalidae. The record is from RefSeq and is a predicted model, not a curated record.